UGGGGAAUCUUGGACAAUGGGGGCAACCCUGAUCCAGCCAUGCCGCGUGGGUGAAGAAGGCCUUAGGGUUGUAAAGUCCUUGCGAGGACUCUUGAAGGUACCAUAAGAAUAAGCACCGGCUAACUCCGUGCCAGCAGCCGCGGUAAUACGGAGGGUGCAAGCGUUAUCCGGAUUUACUGGGUUUAAAGGGUGCGUAGGCGGCUUUUUAAGUCAGUGGUGAAAGCCUAGACACUUAAUGUCAGAAGUGCCAUUGAUACUGAAGAGCUUGAGUCAAGGAGAGGUAAGCAGAAUUUGUGGUGUAGCAGUGAAAUGCUUAGAUACCAUGAGGAAUACCGACAGCGAAAGCAGCUUACUGGCCUUGUACUGACGCUGAGGCACGAAAGCGUGGGGAGCAAACAGGAUUAGAUACCCCCGUAGUCC
RNAcentral lists this ribosomal RNA (420 nucleotides) under uncultured prokaryote. RNAcentral's name for it is "bacterial SSU rRNA". It matches the Rfam family "Bacterial small subunit ribosomal RNA", at positions 355 to 796 of the family's 1533-position model. The record is from RNAcentral.